Molecule: ribosomal RNA, 460 nt
Filed under: uncultured bacterium
Lineage: Bacteria
Description: partial 16S ribosomal RNA
Rfam family: Bacterial small subunit ribosomal RNA
Source: RNAcentral
CCUACGGGUGGCAGCAGUGAGGAAUAUUGGUCAAUGGACGAGAGUCUGAACCAGCCAAGUAGCGUGAAUGAUGACUGCCCUAUGGGUUGUAAACUUCUUUUAUAUGGGAAUAAAACGUUCCACGUGUGGGAUUUUGUAUGUACCAUAUGAAUAAGGAUCGGCUAAUUCCGUGCCAGCAGCCGCGGUAAUACGGAGGGUCCGAGCGUUAUCCGGAUUUAUUGGGUUUAAAGGGAGCGUAGGUGGAUUGUUAAGUGAGUUGUGAAAGUUUGCGGCUCAACCGUGACAUUGCAGUUGGAACUGGCAGUCUUGAGUGCAGGAAAGGUGUGCGGAAUUCGUGGUGUAGCGGUGAAAUGCUUAGAUAUCACGAAGAACUCCGAUUGCGAAGGCAGUUCACUGGACUGCUACUGACACUGAGGCUCGAAGGUGUGGGUAUCGAACAGGAUUAGAUACCCCGGUAGUC